UGGAACUGUCUGCUGAUCACUCAGCGAACUCUGAGAUGCACUGACAGGCUGGGACACUUCCUCAUGGACCUCCUCAUCACUUAAUCUUUCUACUUUGACCCGGACAUCUUCUUCGGUACCUAAAGGCAAGGCUGAAUCCUUCGAUCAAUUCCAAAAGGAAAAGUCCAAGGAAAAGCUAAGGAAGAGUCAACUGGUUGGUUUCUAUUUUCUGAGUAGGAAGCUGAAGAAUUCAAUACCUGGGGUAAAUGUAUAGAGGAAAAGAAAGAUGGGAAAAAGAAAAAAAGGA
RNAcentral lists this long non-coding RNA (286 nucleotides) under Homo sapiens (human). Its description in RNAcentral is "HSALNT0183406". The record is from RNAcentral. Lineage: Eukaryota; Metazoa; Chordata; Mammalia; Primates; Hominidae.